GACGAACGCUGGCGGCGUGCUUAACACAUGCAAGUCGAACGGAAAGGCCCUGCUUUUGUGGGGUGCUCGAGUGGCGAACGGGUGAGUAACACGUGAGUAACCUGCCCUUGACUUUGGGAUAACUUCAGAAAACUGGGGCUAAUACCGGAUAGGAGCUCCUGCUGCAUGGUGGGGGUUGGAAAGUUUCGGCGGUUGGGGAUGGACUCGCGGCUUAUCAGCUUGUUGGUGGGGUAGUGGCUUACCAAGGCUUUGACGGGUAGCCGGCCUGAGAGGGUGACCGGCCACAUUGGGACUGAGAUACGGCCCAGACUCCUACGGGAGGCAGCAGUGGGGAAUAUUGCACAAUGGGCGGAAGCCUGAUGCAGCAACGCCGCGUGCGGGAUGACGGCCUUCGGGUUGUAAACCGCUUUCGCCUGUGACGAAGCGUGAGUGACGGUAAUGGGUAAAGAAGCACCGGCUAACUACGUGCCAGCAGCCGCGGUGAUACGUAGGGUGCGAGCGUUGUCCGGAUUUAUUGGGCGUAAAGGGCUCGUAGGUGGUUGAUCGCGUCGGAAGUGUAAUCUUGGGGCUUAACCCUGAGCGUGCUUUCGAUACGGGUUGACUUGAGGAACGUAGGGGAGAAUGGAUUCCCUGGUGGAGCGGUGGAAUGCGCAGAUAUCAGGAGGAACACCAGUGGCGAAGGCGGUUCUCUGGGCCUUUCCUGACGCUGAGGAGCGAAAGCGUGGGGAGCGAACAGGCUUAGAUACCCUGGUAGUCCACGCUGUAAACGGUGGGUACUAGGUGUGGGGUCCAUUCCACGGGUUCCGUGCCGUAGCUAACGCUUUAAGUACCCCGCCUGGGGAGUACGGCCGCAAGGCUAAAACUCAAAGGAAUUGACGGGGCCCCGCACAAGCGGCGGAGCAUGCGGAUUAAUUCGAUGCAACGCGUAGAACCUUACCUGGGUUUGACAUGGAUCGGGAGUGCUCAGAGAUGGGUGUGCCUCUUUUGGGGUCGGUUCACAGGUGGUGCAUGGCUGUCGUCAGCUCGUGUCGUGAGAUGUUGGGUUAAGUCCCGCAACGAGCGCAACCCUUGUUCACUGUUGCCAGCACGUUAUGGUGGGGACUCAGUGGAGACCGCCGGGGUCAACUCGGAGGAAGGUGGGGAUGACGUCAAGUCAUCAUGCCCCUUAUGUCCAGGGCUUCACGCAUGCUACAAUGGCUGGUACAGAGAGUGGCGAGCCUGUGAGGGUGAGCGAAUCUCGGAAAGCCGGUCUCAGUUCGGAUUGGGGUCUGCAACUCGACCUCAUGAAGUCGGAGUCGCUAGUAAUCGCAGAUCAGCAACGCUGCGGUGAAUACGUUCCCGGG
Molecule: ribosomal RNA, 1343 nt
Filed under: uncultured bacterium
Lineage: Bacteria
Description: 16S ribosomal RNA
Rfam family: Bacterial small subunit ribosomal RNA
Source: RNAcentral